This 529-nucleotide ribosomal RNA is filed under the name Bifidobacterium breve. RNAcentral's name for it is "bacterial SSU rRNA". It matches the Rfam family "Bacterial small subunit ribosomal RNA", at positions 159 to 698 of the family's 1533-position model. Lineage: Bacteria; Bacillati; Actinomycetota; Actinomycetes; Bifidobacteriales; Bifidobacteriaceae. The record is from RNAcentral.
GGUGGUAAUGCCGGAUGCUCCAGUUGAUCGCAUGGUCUUCUGGGAAAGCCUUUGCGGCAUGGGAUGGGGUCGCGUCCUAUCAGCUUGAUGGCGGGGUAACGGCCCACCAUGGCUUCGACGGGUAGCCGGCCUGAGAGGGCGACCGGCCACAUUGGGACUGAGAUACGGCCCAGACUCCUACGGGAGGCAGCAGUGGGGAAUAUUGCACAAUGGGCGCAAGCCUGAUGCAGCGACGCCGCGUGAGGGAUGGAGGCCUUCGGGUUGUAAACCUCUUUUGUUAGGGAGCAAGGCAUUUUGUGUUGAGUGUACCUUUCGAAUAAGCACCGGCUAACUACGUGCCAGCAGCCGCGGUAAUACGUAGGGUGCAAGCGUUAUCCGGAAUUAUUGGGCGUAAAGGGCUCGUAGGCGGUUCGUCGCGUCCGGUGUGAAAGUCCAUCGCUUAACGGUGGAUCCGCGCCGGGUACGGGCGGGCUUGAGUGCGGUAGGGGAGACUGGAAUUCCCGGUGUAACGGUGGAAUGUGUAGAUAUC